GACGAACGCUGGCGGCGUGCUUAACACAUGCAAGUCGAACGAAGAGCGACGGAAGCUUGCUUCUAUCAAUCUUAGUGGCGAACGGGUGAGUAACGCGUAAUCAACCUGCCCUUCAGAGGGGGACAACAGUUGGAAACGACUGCUAAUACCGCAUACGAUCUAAUCUCGGCAUCGAGGAUGGAUGAAAGGUGGCCUCUACAUGUAAGCUAUCACUGAAGGAGGGGAUUGCGGCUGAUUAGCUAGGUGGAGGGGUAAGGGCCCACCAAGGCGAUGAUCAGUAGCCGGUCUGAGAGGAUGAACGGCCACAUUGGGACUGAGACACGGCCCAGACUCCUACGGGAGGCAGCAGUGGGGAAUCUUCCGCAAUGGACGAAAGUCUGACGGAGCAACGCCGCGUGAGUGAUGACGGCCUUCGGGUUGUAAAGCUCUGUUAAUCGGGACGAAAGGCCUUCUUGCGAAUAGUGAGAAGGAUUGACGGUACCGGAAUAGAAAGCCACGGCUAACUACGUG
RNAcentral lists this ribosomal RNA (510 nucleotides) under uncultured bacterium. RNAcentral's name for it is "partial 16S ribosomal RNA". It matches the Rfam family "Bacterial small subunit ribosomal RNA", at positions 28 to 507 of the family's 1533-position model. The record is from RNAcentral.